GUAGUAGCUCUGAGGUAGAGCAUCCGCUUGGCAUGCAGAAGGACCUGGGUUCAAUCCCUGGCAUCUCCA
RNAcentral lists this transfer RNA (69 nucleotides) under Sphaerodactylus townsendi. RNAcentral's name for it is "tRNA-Ala". It matches the Rfam family "tRNA". Rfam says of the family: Transfer RNA (tRNA) molecules are approximately 80 nucleotides in length. The record is from RNAcentral. Lineage: Eukaryota; Metazoa; Chordata; Lepidosauria; Squamata; Sphaerodactylidae.